CCUACGGGUGUGCAGCAGUGGGGAAGAUUGCGCAAUGGGCGAAAGCCUGACGCAGCGAAGCCGCGUGAGGGAUGAAGGUCUGCGGAUCGUAAACCUCUGUCAGCAGGGAAGAACGGUCACUGUGCUAAUCAGCAGUGAAUUGACGGUACCUGCAAAGGAAGCACCGGCUAACUCCGUGCCAGCAGCCGCGGGAAUACGGAGGGGGCGAGCGGUAAUCGGAAUUACUGGGCGUAAAGCGAUCGGAGGCGGUAUGUCAAGUCAAGGGUGAAAUCCCCGCGCUCAACGUGGGAACUGCCUUUGAAACUGGCAACCUGGAGUGUGUGAGAGGAUAGUGGAAUUCCAGGUGUAGGCGU
RNAcentral lists this ribosomal RNA (353 nucleotides) under uncultured bacterium. RNAcentral describes it as "partial 16S ribosomal RNA". It matches the Rfam family "Bacterial small subunit ribosomal RNA", at positions 338 to 682 of the family's 1533-position model. The record is from RNAcentral.